Molecule: ribosomal RNA, 275 nt
Filed under: uncultured bacterium
Lineage: Bacteria
Description: partial 16S ribosomal RNA
Rfam family: Bacterial small subunit ribosomal RNA
Source: RNAcentral
CCUACGGGAGGCUGCAGUGGGGAAUUGUUCGCAAUGGGCGCAAGCCUGACGACGCAACGCCGCGUGGAGGAUGAAGGUCUUCGGAUUGUAAACUCCUGUUGCUCGGGACGAAAUGCGGUGACCUAACACGUCAUCGUUUGACGGUACCGAGUGAGGAAGCCCCGGCUAACUCUGUGCCAGCAGCCGCGGUAAUACAGAGGGGGCAAGCGUUGUUCGGAAUUACUGGGCGUAAAGGGCGCGUAGGCGGCCUGUUAAGUCGAACGUGAAAUCCCCGG